GGUAGUCAUUGGCACAAUGGCUGAAAGUCAGGAGACACAGGCAGGAAAAGCAAUGUUUUUGCCACCAGGCCACACACUUUACAAGAAGUCUUUAAUGCUAUGUGCCUGUGAUGCUGCUACAAGGCAUUCUGCAAAGUCGUACUGAAACCCUUUUUCACCUACAAGAGUAAGCAGAAAUUCACUUCUAGCAAUUAUUAAGCAGUGUAAAGUGAUGCAUUUUGCAAAGUUAAAUCUGAAGGGAGAAUACAGGCUUAAUGGCAGAAUUCUUAGGAGUAUGGAGGAACACAGGGAUAACAAGCAUGAAAAAAUCUGCAGAUACUGGAAAUCCAAGCAACAUACACAAAUUGCUGGAGGAACUCAGCAGGCCAGGCAGUAUCUAUGGAAAAGAUUGAACAGUCAACGUAUCAGCCUGAGACCCUUCUUCAGGACUUGGAAAAGAAGAUGAGAAGUCAGGAGAUAGUGUGGAACAGGUUCUUCCAGCCCAUCAAGCUGCACUGCCCAGCAACCAACGUAUUUAACACUAGCUGAAUCAGUUCACAAUGAUCAAUUAACCUACUAACCGGUACAUCUUUGGCCUAUGGGAGGACACCGGAGAACCUGGAGGAAACCCACACGGCUCACUGGGAGAAGGUGCAAACUCCUUACAGACGGCGCUGGAAUUCAACUCCAAACUCCGAUGCCCUGAGUUGUAAUAGUGUCAUGCUGACUGCCACGCUACCUUGGCACCCAUUUAGACCAUAAGACAAUAAGACCACAAGACAUAGGAGCAGAAUUAGGCUAUUCAGCCCAUCAAGUCUAUUCUAUCAUUUGAUCAUGGCUGACUUAUUUUCCAUCUCAACCCCAUUCUGCUGCAUCCUCCCAUAAUUUUGGACACCCUGACUAAUUUGAAUGUUUGAGAAACAUAAAACUACAUUUAGGACUUGGAACAUAGAACAGCUAAUAAGUUAAUUAGUUCAUGUUGUGGGCUCUUGGUUUCCUCAAAUAGGAACAUCGAACUUAGAGCACAGGAACAGGACCUUUGGCCCACAGUGUUGUGCUGAACCAAUUAAAUUAGUAAUCAAAUGGUCAACCAAACCAAUCUCUUGUACCUACACAAUGGCCAUAUCCUUCCAUUCAUGUGCCUAUCUAAAUGUCUCUUAAAAGUCCCUAAUGUGUCUGCCAUUACCUUGAGCAGUGCAUUUCACGCACCCAUCACUCUCUGUGUAAAGAAAACUUGCCCCUCACAGCUCCUUUGAACUUACCCCCUCUUACCUUAAAUGCAUGCCCUCUGGUAUUUGAAUUUUCUGUACUGGGAAAAAGAUACCGUCUACCCCCACUAUCUUGAGCCCCUCCACUGGUCAGGGUCGACCAUUGAUAUUGCAUCUCAGCACUCGACAUGAUACACAAGCCAAGACAGUACAAUACGGAGAGCAAGCUGUUCCCCAUGCAAUAGGCUCCCCCUCUCCACGUUGCUGAUGAAUCCAAAGGAAUGGCAGAGACUGAUAACAGUUUGGAACCAGUGCUGUCUCAAGAGUUGCCAGUCAGUGUUGAACUCAAUGUCGGACUGCCUUAGGGACUCCAACUCAGGAUUUUUCCUUGGGGUUUACUCCAGAAGCCUUUCCCUUGAAUGGGUAUAGCCACAAAGCAGUGGAAGUUUGAGAUCAGAGAUGUUCUUCGACUAGAUAAGCUGCCAUCCGUGGCUGACGAGCCCCCUCUGCCCGGAGCGACUGGUUUUAAGGUGCCAGUAACUGACCCUUACCCCUUCUCCUGUCAGUUGAAAUGGUUCUGCCGGACUUAGUACCUGAACCACACCUGAAAGCCAGGAGCUGGUCUUGAUUGUCAGAAGCUAUUUGAGAUGCACACUAUAGGGAGCAUUUAACAGUUAGUGGGAGCUAAUCCCCACUACCUCCCUCAGCUAUGACAACCUUAAUCAACCUACUGUAUCUAUGCCAAUCAUAAUCUCAUAAACCUCUAUCAGGUCUCCCCUCAGCCUCCACCUUUCCAGAGAAAACAACCCAAAUUUUUCCAACCUCUUCUUAUAGCACAUGUUCCCUAAUCCAGGCAGCAUCCCGGUAAACCUCUUAUGCAGUCUCCCCAAAGCCUCAACACCCUUCCUGUAAUGGGGUGACCAGAACUUGCCAUUGUUACAUUGGAAGUUUCAGGGUGGUCCAGUGGUUAUUGGAAUAACAGCCUCAUCUGUAUUUCAAUGAGCGACAACAAUGUUAAAAAAUAAAUAACUGGAACAGCCAAUCAACCCAUCAAAGCAACUCCUUAUAGUCAUAGUCAUAGUCAUACUUUAUUAAUCCCGGGGGAAAUUGAUUAUGUGUGAAUACAUAAGGACAGACCACAGUGGUCAGGCUUCACCUCAACAGGUUUAGCAAGAACAGGCAGAGGUUAAGGUUGCAGUCAUUUGGAAUCAUUUAGUUGGUUGUGGAAUUUAAUAUUAUGGGUUAGAGUUAACGGUAGAACAAGUGUAUGCAGAAUGGUAAUUAAGGCACUGGAAUGCUCCUCCUGUAAGAUGUGGGAUUGCAGGGUUCCUAACGGUCUCCUUGUUGACUAAAUCUGCAGGAAGUGUAUCCAACUUCAGCUCCUGACUGACAAGGUCAAAGAACUGGAGCUGGAUGUACGCAGAAGUCUGUACUUCCGGAAGUCUAUAAGCCUCCUCGUAGAUGAGACUUUUACUCAGAUGCUCACAGCCAGAGUGCCAGCUUCAGUUGGUAAAUGGGUGACCACCAGGAGAAGUAAGAGGAGUCAGCAGUUACUGCAGGGUUUCCCUCAGCAACGAGUAUACCCCUGUGAAUACUGCUGGGGGAGAGGGUGCAGCAGCAGCGGGGCCCGUGACACUGUGGCCAGCUCUGAGAUUUCGCAGCGAAGCGUAAACUCAAGUAGAGCGAUAAAAUUGGGAAGCUGAUAGGGAGACAGACAGGAGAUUCUGUGGCUAUUAAAGAGAUGCUAGGACGGUGUGUUGCCUCCAAGGCAUUUAGGUCAAGGGC
Molecule: long non-coding RNA, 2972 nt
Organism: Mobula hypostoma (lesser devil ray)
Lineage: Eukaryota; Metazoa; Chordata; Chondrichthyes; Myliobatiformes; Myliobatidae
Exons: 3
Source: RefSeq, a predicted model, not a curated record